UUAUGAGAGUUUGAUCCUGGCUCAGGACGAACGCUGGCGGCGUGCCUAAUACAUGCAAGUCGAACGCUUUUUCUUUCACCGGAGCUUGCUCCACCGAAAGAAAAAGAGUGGCGAACGGGUGAGUAACACGUGGGUAACCUGCCCAUCAGAAGGGGAUAACACUUGGAAACAGGUGCUAAUACCGUAUAACACUAUUUUCCGCAUGGAAGAAAGUUGAAAGGCGCUUUUGCGUCACUGAUGGAUGGACCCGCGGUGCAUUAGCUAGUUGGUGAGGUAACGGCUCACCAAGGCAACGAUGCAUAGCCGACCUGAGAGGGUGAUCGGCCACACUGGGACUGAGACACGGCCCAGACUCCUACGGGAGGCAGCAGUAGGGAAUCUUCGGCAAUGGACGAAAGUCUGACCGAGCAACGCCGCGUGAGUGAAGAAGGUUUUCGGAUCGUAAAACUCUGUUGUUAGAGAAGAACAAGGAUGAGAGUAAAAUGUUCAUCCCUUGACGGUAUCUAACCAGAAAGCCACGGCUAACUACGUGCCAGCAGCCGCGGUAAUACGUAGGUGGCAAGCGUUGUCCGGAUUUAUUGGGCGUAAAGCGAGCGCAGGCGGUUUCUUAAGUCUGAUGUGAAAGCCCCCGGCUCAACCGGGGAGGGUCAUUGGAAACUGGGAGACUUGAGUGCAGAAGAGGAGAGUGGAAUUCCAUGUGUAGCGGUGAAAUGCGUAGAUAUAUGGAGGAACACCAGUGGCGAAGGCGGCUCUCUGGUCUGUAACUGACGCUGAGGCUCGAAAGCGUGGGGAGCGAACAGGAUUAGAUACCCUGGUAGUCCACGCCGUAAACGAUGAGUGCUAAGUGUUGGAGGGUUUCCGCCCUUCAGUGCUGCAGCAAACGCAUUAAGCACUCCGCCUGGGGAGUACGACCGCAAGGUUGAAACUCAAAGGAAUUGACGGGGGCCCGCACAAGCGGUGGAGCAUGUGGUUUAAUUCGAAGCAACGCGAAGAACCUUACCAGGUCUUGACAUCCUUUGACCACUCUAGAGAUAGAG
This 1037-nucleotide ribosomal RNA is filed under the name Enterococcus casseliflavus. RNAcentral describes it as "bacterial SSU rRNA". It matches the Rfam family "Bacterial small subunit ribosomal RNA", at positions 1 to 1011 of the family's 1533-position model. The record is from RNAcentral. Lineage: Bacteria; Bacillati; Bacillota; Bacilli; Lactobacillales; Enterococcaceae.